This is a long non-coding RNA of Ruditapes philippinarum (Manila clam), 639 nucleotides long. RefSeq lists it as uncharacterized. Lineage: Eukaryota; Metazoa; Mollusca; Bivalvia; Venerida; Veneridae. The transcript is spliced from 3 exons. The record is from RefSeq and is a predicted model, not a curated record.
AAUGAAUGCACCACUGGAACCGACAACUGUAAUGCGAACGCACAAUGUACGAAUACCCCAGGAGGCUUCACAUGUGCGUGUAACGCCGGAUUCAGCGGCGACGGAGUAACAUGCGUCGACAUCAACGAAUGUACUAACUCGCCAUCACCGUGUGACACCAAUGCCUCGUGCCAGAAUAGCUUUGGAAGUUUCUCCUGUACCUGCGAUACAGGCUAUACUGGAAAUGGGACACCCGGCAACUGCGAUAAUGUUAAUGAAUGCGUCACACUUGCUCCAGCCUGUCCUGCGGGAUACGACUGUCAGGACACAACGCCAGGAUUUUGUUGUAAUCCUUCUGCUUAAAUCAAGUUCAUUAAACCAGAACUAUGCCCCGGACCGACACCGCUUCAACACUACCGACAUAUCCACUGAUAAAAUAUAUCAUCUUCUCUCCUUUUCUCUAUUUAUAACAUUUUUCUUUAUGACUGCAUUAAAUGCAUCUUUUCAACAAUUUUGUUUAGAAUGUUUUAGUAGUAAAGGGGUCGGUUUAACGUCCCCCCUUUACUACUUGUUAUAAAGUUAAAUGUUAAAUUGAUGUCGACAUUGCUUUCUAUCUUUAUCUUUCCCCAGCAUCCAAAAAUAAAGUUUAAAUCAAACUUA